Molecule: long non-coding RNA, 345 nt
Filed under: Malus domestica (apple)
Lineage: Eukaryota; Viridiplantae; Streptophyta; Magnoliopsida; Rosales; Rosaceae
Description: long non-coding RNA (MDOM_LNC014018)
Source: RNAcentral
CUUGGAGUAGUGGGAUUGCAAGAUUCACCCCCCAAGGUGGCCAGCCUCUUUAGAGAGAAAUGGAGAGACAAGUUCUCACCAAUUUUCUCCAAAAGAAAACCCUUAAUGAAUUUUGGCUAUAAAGUCAUAUUUAUACCUUUAUUCAUUUGAGUGGCAAACUUGUAAAUAAGUCCAAGUUCACUACCCUAAACAAUAUGGCCGGCCAUUAGGAUAUUUUGGACUAAUUGGGCCUUUGUGAAUCAUUAUUCAUUAAGUUGUCAUACAACUCAAGUUAAUGGGCUUGACGUUCGAAGCCCAUUGGGCCUUAAGGUCCAAAACUAUCCCAAGGGCUUUAACGAACUUAUU